This is a long non-coding RNA of Pleuronectes platessa (European plaice), 212 nucleotides long. RefSeq lists it as uncharacterized. Lineage: Eukaryota; Metazoa; Chordata; Actinopteri; Pleuronectiformes; Pleuronectidae. The record is from RefSeq and is a predicted model, not a curated record. The transcript has 3 exons.
AGAUUUCUAAUUUUAAUGUUAUCAAGUGGAUUAUUUUGACAAUGGUAGACCUGCCCUCAUUGCACUUCAUGGCUGGAGACCACAGAGGGGACGCCUGACCAGGGCGUGACGUCAUACUGGACCGACCCAGAGGGAAAUGUGGUGUUUGGCCCAAACACUCCCCAGGAAAAGAUAGAGAUGCAAAAGCGAAAGGCUAAGACGCCCCCUGUGAA